GACGAACGCUGGCGGCGUGCCUAAUACAUGCAAGUCGAACGCUUCUUUCCUCCCGAGUGCUUGCACUCAAUUGGAAAGAGGAGUGGCGGACGGGUGAGUAACACGUGGGUAACCUACCCAUCAGAGGGGGAUAACACUUGGAAACAGGUGCUAAUACCGCAUAACAGUUUAUGCCGCAUGGCAUAAGAGUGAAAGGCGCUUUCGUGUGUCGCUGAUGGAUGGACCCGCGGUGCAUUAGCUAGUUGGUGAGGUAACGGCUCACCAAGGCCACGAUGCAUAGCCGACCUGAGAGGGUGAUCGGCCACACUGGGACUGAGACACGGCCCAGACUCCUACGGGAGGCAGCAGUAGGGAAUCUUCGGCAAUGGACGAAAGUCUGACCGAGCAACGCCGCGUGAGUGAAGAAGGUUUUCGGAUCGUAAAACUCUGUUGUUAGAGAAGAACAAGGACGUUAGUAACUGAACGUCCCCUGACGGUAUCUAACCAGAAAGCCACGGCUAACUACGUG
This 508-nucleotide ribosomal RNA is filed under the name uncultured bacterium. Its description in RNAcentral is "partial 16S ribosomal RNA". It matches the Rfam family "Bacterial small subunit ribosomal RNA", at positions 28 to 507 of the family's 1533-position model. The record is from RNAcentral.